ACGGAAGGCAGCAGUGAGGAAUAUUGGUCAAUGGGCGGAAGCCUGGACCAGCCAAGUCGCGUGAAGGAUGAAGGUAUUAUGUAUUGUAAACUUCUUUAGUCGUAGAGAAAUAAGGUGCUCGUGAGCACUGAUGCUAGUAUACGAAGAAUAAGGAUCGGCUAACUCCGUGCCAGCAGCCGCGGUAAUACGGAGGAUCCGAGCGUUAUCCGGAUUUAUUGGGUUUAAAGGGUGCGCAGGCGGCUUUUUAAGUCAGUGGUCAAAUCGUGGGGCUCAACCCCAUCCCGCCAUUGAUACUGGAGAGCUUGAUUGCGGUCGAGGUUGGCGGAAUUCGUCGUGUAGCGGUGAAAUGCAUAGAUAUGACGAAGAACACCGAUUGCGUAGGCAGCUGACCAGGCCGUAAAUGACGCUCAUGCACGAAAGUGCGGGGAUCGAACAGGAUUAGAUACCCUGGUA
RNAcentral lists this ribosomal RNA (453 nucleotides) under uncultured Porphyromonadaceae bacterium. Its description in RNAcentral is "partial 16S ribosomal RNA". It matches the Rfam family "Bacterial small subunit ribosomal RNA", at positions 341 to 792 of the family's 1533-position model. Lineage: Bacteria; Pseudomonadati; Bacteroidota; Bacteroidia; Bacteroidales; Porphyromonadaceae. The record is from RNAcentral.